Molecule: ribosomal RNA, 427 nt
Filed under: uncultured prokaryote
Description: bacterial SSU rRNA
Rfam family: Bacterial small subunit ribosomal RNA
Source: RNAcentral
UGGGGAAUUUUGGACAAUGGGCGCAAGCCUGAUCCAGCCAUGCCGCGUGAGUGAAGAAGGCCUUCGGGUUGUAAAGCUCUUUCGGCGGGGAAGAAAUUGCACUGGCUAAUACCGAGUGUAGAUGACGGUACCCGCAUAAGAAGCACCGGCUAACUACGUGCCAGCAGCCGCGGUAAUACGUAGGGUGCGAGCGUUAAUCGGAAUUACUGGGCGUAAAGCGUGCGCAGGCGGUUGUGUAAGUCAGAUGUGAAAUCCCCGGGCUCAACCUGGGAACUGCAUUUGAGACUGAACGGCUAGAGUGUGACAGAGGGGGGUAGAAUUCCACGUGUAGCAGUGAAAUGCGUAGAGAUGUGGAGGAAUACCGAUGGCGAAGGCAGCCCCCUGGGUUACUACUGACGCUCAUGCACGAAAGCGUGGGGAGCAAACA